RNAcentral lists this ribosomal RNA (458 nucleotides) under uncultured bacterium. RNAcentral describes it as "bacterial SSU rRNA". It matches the Rfam family "Bacterial small subunit ribosomal RNA", at positions 29 to 507 of the family's 1533-position model. The record is from RNAcentral.
AACGAACGCUGGCGGCAUGCCUAACACAUGCAAGUCGAACGAAGCCUUCGGGCUUAGUGGCGCACGGGUGCGUAACACGUGGGAAUCCGCCCUUCGGUUCGGAAUAACAGUUAGAAAUGACUGCUAAUACCGGAUGAUGACGUAAGUCCAAAGAUUUAUCGCCGAAGGAUGAGCCCGCGUAGGAUUAGGUAGUUGGUAGGGUAAUGGCCUACCAAGCCGACGAUCCUUAGCUGGUCUGAGAGGAUGAUCAGCCACACUGGGACUGAGACACGGCCCAGACUCCUACGGGAGGCAGCAGUGGGGAAUAUUGGACAAUGGGCGAAAGCCUGAUCCAGCAAUGCCGCGUGAGUGAUGAAGGCCUUAGGGUUGUAAACCGCUUUCGGACAGAAAGAAAUCGCAUGGACUAAUACUCUGUGUGGAUGACGGUACUGUAAGAAGAAGCACCGGCUAACUACGUG